RNAcentral lists this transfer RNA (69 nucleotides) under Chimaera fulva (southern chimaera). Its description in RNAcentral is "tRNA-Gly". It matches the Rfam family "tRNA". From Rfam's summary of the family: Transfer RNA (tRNA) molecules are approximately 80 nucleotides in length. Their secondary structure includes four short double-helical elements and three loops (D, anti-codon, and T loops). The record is from RNAcentral. Lineage: Eukaryota; Metazoa; Chordata; Chondrichthyes; Chimaeriformes; Chimaeridae.
ACCUUUCUAGUAUAAAUAUUACAAAUGACUUCCAAUCAUUUAAACUUGGUUUAAACCCAAGGAAAGGAA